This 720-nucleotide ribosomal RNA is filed under the name bacterium IMCC11363. RNAcentral's name for it is "bacterial SSU rRNA". It matches the Rfam family "Bacterial small subunit ribosomal RNA", at positions 29 to 749 of the family's 1533-position model. The record is from RNAcentral.
AUGAACGCUGCGGCAGGCUAACACAUGCAAGUCGAGCGCGAAAGCACUUCGGUGUGAGUAGAGCGGCGGACGGGUGAGUAACGCGUAGGAAUCUACCUAGUAGUGGGGGACAACUCGGGGAAACUCGAGCUAAUACCGCAUAAGCCCUACGGGGGAAAGCGGGGGACCUUCGGGCCUCGUGCUAUUAGAUGAGCCUGCGUUGGAUUAGCUAGUUGGUGGGGUAAAGGCCUACCAAGGCGACGAUCCAUAGCUGGUCUGAGAGGAUGAUCAGCCACACCGGGACUGAGACACGGCCCGGACUCCUACGGGAGGCAGCAGUGGGGAAUAUUGCGCAAUGGGCGAAAGCCUGACGCAGCCAUGCCGCGUGUGUGAAGAAGGCCUUCGGGUUGUAAAGCACUUUCAAUUGGGAGGAAAGGUUCACGGUUAAUAACCGUGAGCUGUGACGUUACCUUUAGAAGAAGCACCGGCUAACUCCGUGCCAGCAGCCGCGGUAAUACGGAGGGUGCGAGCGUUAAUCGGAAUUACUGGGCGUAAAGCGCGCGUAGGUGGUCUGUUAAGUCGGAUGUGAAAGCCCCGGGCUCAACCUGGGAACUGCAUUCGAUACUGGCAGACUAGAGUGCGAGAGAGGGAGGUAGAAUUCCAUGUGUAGCGGUGAAAUGCGUAGAUAUGUGGAGGAAUACCAGUGGCGAAGGCGGCCUCCUGGCUCGACACUGACACUGA